UGGGGAAUCUUGCGCAAUGGGCGAAAGCCUGACGCAGCGACGCCGCGUGGGUGAUGAAGGCCUUCGGGUCGUAAAGCUCUGUGGGGAGAGACGAAUAAAGCAGGAAUAACACUCCUGACGAUGACGGUAUCUCCUUAGCAAGCACCGGCUAACUCUGUGCCAGCAGCCGCGGUAAGACAGAGGGUGCAAACGUUGUUCGGAAUUACUGGGCGUAAAGCGUGUGUAGGCGGCCAUGUAAGUUGGAUGUGAAAGCCCAGGGCUCAACCUUGGAAGUGCAUUCAAUACUGCGUGGCUUGAGUAUCGGAGAGGUUGGUGGAAUUCUCGGUGUAGAGGUGAAAUUCGUAGAUAUCGAGAGGAACACCGGUGGCGAAGGCGGCCAACUGGACGAAUACUGACGCUGAGACACGAAAGCGUGGGGAGCAAACAGG
Molecule: ribosomal RNA, 428 nt
Filed under: uncultured bacterium
Lineage: Bacteria
Description: bacterial SSU rRNA
Rfam family: Bacterial small subunit ribosomal RNA
Source: RNAcentral